This 440-nucleotide ribosomal RNA is filed under the name uncultured bacterium. Its description in RNAcentral is "partial 16S ribosomal RNA". It matches the Rfam family "Bacterial small subunit ribosomal RNA", at positions 338 to 795 of the family's 1533-position model. The record is from RNAcentral.
CCUACGGGUGGCAGCAGUGGGGGAUAUUGCACAAUGGGGGAAACCCUGAUGCAGCGACGCCGCGUGUGGGAAGACGGUCUUCUGGAUUGUAAACCACUUUCCCCAGGGACGAAGAGGACGGUACCUGGGGAGGAAGCUCCGGCUAACUACGUGCCAGCAGCCGCGGUAAUACGUAGGGCGCGAGCGUUGUCGGGAAUUACUGGGGGUAAAGGGAGCGUAGGCGGGGAUGAAAGUUGGGUGUCAAAACUACCGGCUCAACUGGUAGUCGCACUCAAAACUGCAGCUCUUGAGUGAAGUAGAGGCAGGCGGAAUUCCUAGUGUAGCGGUGAAAUGCGUAGAUAUUAGGAGGAACACCAGUGGCGAAGGCGGCCCGCUGGGCUUUUACUGACGCUGAGGCUCGAAAGUGUGGGGAGCAAACAGGAUUAGAUACCCCUGUAGUC